This 301-nucleotide ribosomal RNA is filed under the name uncultured bacterium. RNAcentral's name for it is "partial 16S ribosomal RNA". It matches the Rfam family "Bacterial small subunit ribosomal RNA", at positions 509 to 807 of the family's 1533-position model. The record is from RNAcentral.
CAGCCGCCGCGGGAAUACGAAGGGGGCUAGCGUUGCUCGGAAUUACUGGGCGUAAAGGGAGCGUAGGCGGAUCGUUAAGUUGGGGGUGAAAGCCCGGGGCUCAACCUCGGAACUGCCUUCAAUACUGGCGAUCUUGAGUAUGAGAGAGGUGUGUGGAACUCCGAGUGUAGAGGUGAAAUUCGUAGAUAUUCGGAAGAACACCGGUGGCGAAGGCGACACACUGGCUCAUUACCGACGCUGAGGCUCGAAAGCGUGGGGAGCAAACAGGAUUAGAUACCCCAGUAGUCCCUGUCUCUUAUAC